AGAAAAUAGAUACCCUGGUAGUCCACGCAGUAAACGAUGAGUGCUAGUCAUUGGGGUCAUAGAUCUCGGUGGCGAAAGCUAACGCGUUAAGCACUCCGCCUGGGGAGUACGGCCGCAAGGCUAAAACUCAAAGGAAUUGACGGGGACCCGCACAAGCAGUGAAGCAUGUGGUUUAAUUCGAUGCUACGCGAAAAACCUUACCAGCUCUUGUAUCCUCACUAUGAUUCUCAGAAAUGAGUUUCUUCACUUCGGGUGGGUGAGAGACAGGUGUUGCAUGGCUGUCGUCAGCUCGUGUCGUGAGAUGUUAGGUUAAGUCCUUCAACGAGCGCAACCCUCAUCCUUAUUUGCCAUCGGGUUAUGCCGGGAACUAUAAGGAAACUGCCAACGACAAGUUGGAGGAAGGUGGGGAUGAUGUCAAGUCAUCAUGGCCCUUAUGGGCUGGGCUACACACACGCUACAAUGGUGGUUACAACGGGUAAAGCGAAAGAGCAAUCUGGAGCCAAUCCUAUAAAAGCC
RNAcentral lists this ribosomal RNA (516 nucleotides) under uncultured bacterium. RNAcentral's name for it is "bacterial SSU rRNA". It matches the Rfam family "Bacterial small subunit ribosomal RNA", at positions 774 to 1284 of the family's 1533-position model. The record is from RNAcentral.